UACGGAGGGUGCAAGCGUUAUCCGGAUUUAUUGGGUUUAAAGGGUCCGCAGGCGGACUUGUAAGUCAGAGGUGAAAGCCGGCAGCUCAACUGUCGAACUGCCUUUGAAACUGCAAGUCUUGAGUGAGGUUGAAGUAGCUAGAAUGAGUAGUGUAGCGGUGAAAUGCUUAGAUAUUACUCAGAAUACCGAUUGCGAAGGCAGGUUACUAAGUCUUAACUGACGCUGAGGGACGAAAGCGUGGGGAGCGAAC
This 250-nucleotide ribosomal RNA is filed under the name uncultured bacterium. RNAcentral's name for it is "partial 16S ribosomal RNA". It matches the Rfam family "Bacterial small subunit ribosomal RNA", at positions 524 to 773 of the family's 1533-position model. The record is from RNAcentral.